Long non-coding RNA from Oncorhynchus kisutch (coho salmon), 477 nucleotides. RefSeq lists it as uncharacterized. NCBI's taxonomy places the organism in Eukaryota, Metazoa, Chordata, Actinopteri, Salmoniformes, Salmonidae. The record is from RefSeq and is a predicted model, not a curated record. The transcript has 3 exons.
UUUCUGAAAAAUGUCCAUAGUUUUGGAUCUGAAUCGCUCAGACGACAUGCUGGACCAGAAUGGCUCCCUGAAACAGAUCGAGAUCAACACCGUGUUUCUCCACGCACACCAGACGUCCACCGGGAUGUUCACACAACUAGUUAUCAAGUUAUUUCUUGAAAUAUCCCCUGUGGAGUAUUCUUUCUAAAUAAGGCCUAUUAUUAUUUCAUCAUUAGGCACAUUCUGAAGAGGCCUGGUCAGCUGGAUGAAAGCAAGCAUGUCCUAGACGACAACCAUUCUGCAAGUCUGGCAAAGGGACUAGCUAAAGCUUGGGACCUCUACGGCUCGGAGAGGGCAGUGGUCCUGUUUCUGGUUGAAGCAUUUUUGGCCAUAGAUAUAUUGAGAAUGAGCUAUGGAACAGACAAAUUCCUGUUAUAUGAAGACGGUUUGACGAUGUAUCGAAGAUGGGAUUCCUUGAUGAAAACGAGGCGAUUUGUG